UGAUUAUAAAUUAAUGUAAAUUUACCAGAGUACUAUGAACAUGCAGUUUAAAACUCAAAGGGCUUGGCGGUGCUUUAGACUCUUCAGGGGAACCUGUCUCGUAAUCGAUAGUCCACGAUAUACCUAACCUUUUUUAGACAUCAGUAUGUAUACCGUCGUCGUCAGGUAACUUUUAAAAAUAAAGAAGUUAGCGACAAAAAUUAGAAUAAUUUUGUACGUCAGAUCAAGGUGCAGCUCAUAAAAAGGUGAGGAUGGGUUACAAUUAAGAGUUAUAAUAACGGAAAGAGGUUUGGCAUAACCUCUAAUG
This 307-nucleotide ribosomal RNA is filed under the name Alviniconcha boucheti. RNAcentral describes it as "partial small subunit ribosomal RNA". Lineage: Eukaryota; Metazoa; Mollusca; Gastropoda; Provannidae. The record is from RNAcentral.